GCCCGGGAUAGGCUCAGUGGGAGCGNAACC
Molecule: transfer RNA, 30 nt
Filed under: Scapania ampliata
Lineage: Eukaryota; Viridiplantae; Streptophyta; Jungermanniopsida; Jungermanniales; Scapaniaceae
Description: partial tRNA-Phe
Source: RNAcentral